GGCUUAAUUUGACUCAACGCGGGAAAUCUUACCGGGUCCGGACACACUGAGGAUUGACAGAUAUAUACCCCGUGAUUUUAUCGCGGGGUUGAAAGAUGCUAGUUCUUUCAUGAUUAUGUGAUAGGUGGUGCAUGGCCGUUCUUAGUUCGUGGAGUGAUCUGUCUGCUUAAUUGCGUAUCAAUAAUAGAGACCUAGUAUACGCGUAGACUCAUGCGGUAGUGACCCCCCUUCACAGGGCGCGUGUCGCACGUAUGUUAUACGCACAGGUCUCCGAUAGCAACGAACGUGACCGUACUCUAUUGUUGCAGCGACAAUACCUUUCAACGGGUAUUACCGCUGCUUAGCAAGAUUCGUCUUGCAUUAAACUAUAGAGACCGCUGUUUCUUCUUUAAACCAGAGGAAGGAUACGGCAAUAACAGGUCUGUGAUG
RNAcentral lists this ribosomal RNA (429 nucleotides) under Ammonia aomoriensis. Its description in RNAcentral is "SSU rRNA". It matches the Rfam family "Eukaryotic small subunit ribosomal RNA", at positions 1187 to 1469 of the family's 1831-position model. The record is from RNAcentral. Lineage: Eukaryota; Foraminifera; Rotaliida; Rotaliidae.